This is a transfer RNA of Colletotrichum orchidophilum, 87 nucleotides long. It matches the Rfam family "tRNA". Rfam says of the family: Transfer RNA (tRNA) molecules are approximately 80 nucleotides in length. Their secondary structure includes four short double-helical elements and three loops (D, anti-codon, and T loops). Lineage: Eukaryota; Fungi; Ascomycota; Sordariomycetes; Glomerellales; Glomerellaceae. The record is from Rfam.
UCCGAUAUGGUGUAGUGGCCAACAUGAUGCCCUCUCAUUGAUAUGAAAGGUUAGGCAUAGCCCCGAGUUCGAUUCUCGGUUUCGGAA